GUGGAGCAAUCCAUGAGUAAAGUGGCGCACGGGUGAGUAACACGUGACUAACCUACCCUUGAGUGGGGAAUAACCUAGGGAAACCUGGGCUAAUACCGCAUAACACCUACGGGUCAAAGGAGCAAUUCGCUUAAGGAGGGGGUCGCGGCAGAUUAGCUAGUUGGCGGGGUAAUGGCCCACCAAGGCAGUGAUCUGUAUCCGGCCUGAGAGGGCGCACGGACACACUGGAACUGAAACACGGUCCAGACUCCUACGGGAGGCAGCAGUGGGGAAUUUUGCGCAAUGGGGGAAACCCUGACGCAGCAACGCCGCGUGGAGGAUGAAGUCCCUUGGGACGUAAACUCCUUUCGACCGGGAAGAUUAUGACGGUACCUAUAGAAGAAGCCCCGGCUAACUUCGUGCCAGCAGCCGCGGUAAUACGAGGGGGGCAAGCGUUGUUCGGAAUUAUUGGGCGUAAAGGGCGCGUAGGCGGUUUGACAAGUCUGAUGUGAAAUCUCUGGGCUCAACCCAGAGUCUGCAUUAGAAACUGUCGGGCUUGAGUAUGGGAGAGGUGAGUGGAAUUUCCGGUGUAGCGGUGAAAUGCGUAGAUAUCGGAAGGAACACCUGUGGCGAAAGCGGCUCACUGGACCAUAACUGACGCUGAGGCGCGAAAGCUAGGGGAGCAAACA
Molecule: ribosomal RNA, 668 nt
Filed under: uncultured bacterium
Lineage: Bacteria
Description: bacterial SSU rRNA
Rfam family: Bacterial small subunit ribosomal RNA
Source: RNAcentral